Long non-coding RNA from Rhinichthys klamathensis goyatoka, 648 nucleotides. RefSeq lists it as uncharacterized. Lineage: Eukaryota; Metazoa; Chordata; Actinopteri; Cypriniformes; Leuciscidae. The record is from RefSeq and is a predicted model, not a curated record. The transcript has 5 exons.
GUGCUGCAUGAUUUUGACGUGGUUUAAUCAAUGCCGUGCGCGUGAACUUUCGAGUAUUUCAAACACUGGAGCGGCCGGCGCGCAGAGUUGCCAUGGAAACGGCGCGGGACCACUGCUACUGGUAAGCAACAAAACUCCCUCUCUCGAUGUUGUUUAAACUUUUCACGGCUUUUUCCAGUAGUAACAAAAUAACCCAUAACAGAGAGAAAGCUCCACGACUUCAACAUUUCUGGAGAAAGCUGCUGCCGGAGAAGUAACGUUAGGACACAGAACAAGUCUGUGACUGACUUAAUGAACCCAGUUGCUUUGGAUCAUGCUCAAAGAUGUAAGGGUUACAAAAAGUUAACCAGAACUCUUAUGGACUCCAUCUUCUCUUUCGAAGAGAUGGCAGCAUGAACGGAAAAAAAGGGGUUGUUGGUGAAAAAAGAGCCUUGACCUACAAAAGGUGCAGCUAAUAAUUGACCAUGUCAAAAAGAGGCACCCAGGCAUCGGAGGCACUGAGAUCAAGGUCUGCAUGGCACAAAAGUUAAAAGAUCUGAGGAGACGAGCAGAAAGGAUGCCUGCUGCAGGAGACACAAAGGACUGAGACAACACACUUUCACAAACGCACACCACACACACACACAUGCGCGUAUACCUGCGUUUUUU